GACGAACGCUGGCGGCGUGCUUAACACAUGCAAGUCGAACGGAAAGGCCCUGCUUUUGUGGGGUGCUCGAGUGGCGAACGGGUGAGUAACACGUGAGUAACCUGCCCUUGACUUUGGGAUAACUUCAGGAAACUGGGGCUAAUACCGGAUAGGAGCUCCUGCUGCAUGGUGGGGGUUGGAAAGUUUCGGCGGUUGGGGAUGGACUCGCGGCUUAUCAGCUUGUUGGUGGGGUAGUGGCUUACCAAGGCUUUGACGGGUAGCCGGCCUGAGAGGGUGACCGGCCACAUUGGGACUGAGAUACGGCCCUGACUCCUACGGGAGGCAGCAGUGGGAAAUAUUGCACAAUGGGAGGAAGCCUGAUGCAGCAACGCCGCGUGCGGGAUGACGGCCUUCGGGUUGUAAACCGCUUUCGCCUGUGACGAAGCGUGAGUGACGGUAAUGGGUAAAGAAGCACCGGCUAACUACGUG
Molecule: ribosomal RNA, 468 nt
Filed under: uncultured bacterium
Lineage: Bacteria
Description: partial 16S ribosomal RNA
Rfam family: Bacterial small subunit ribosomal RNA
Source: RNAcentral